GAUGGCCUUAUAGUCUAUUUUUAAGGCUUCUAGCCUUCAAAACUUUAAAAUGAAGAAAAUAAGACACUGUUGUGGUAUAAAAGUUUUAAUUUAUUACUACUAAAUUUUAGUAUUGGUUAAAAUGAUGAAUUUAUUUAACAUUUCUUAUUUUCCCUAAAAAUAGGGAUUCAGACUCUUCUUUUGCUAUGUGGGCUAUGACAAUUAAAAUAAUAAGAUGGCCUAAAUGUUUAGUGUUUUAAGCUUAAAGAGCUAAAACUCUUCCAAUGUUAUAACCCACAGAAGCUUUGUACUUGGCUCUGCCGAUGCUUUGUAUUUUAAUUAUCAAUUUGACAACAAUUAAUCAGGUAGGAAUGUUAUUCCAAUAUAUUUUCUCUGUUGUUGGGCUGAUCCUUCAGAUAACGAGAUUAUGUUAAAAAGAUUGGAGAUCAAAAGAAACUGGUGAUUUAGUAAUUUAGUAGGCUAAGUGCUCUCAUCACUCAUGGGGAUGAUAUGAUCUUUUAUGAUUCUGUAAGUCAUCAUAUCUGCCGCCACGUGCACUAUCACUUUGUGCACCCAUUUCUCUUUCUAAAUGAUUUCUUUUCACUAAGCAAUUUAGUAUUCAUAGGUAAAAUUAACUCUGCUUUUCGUUAUGUAAGCUAGGUCAGUUUCGUAGGUUAAA
This 658-nucleotide long non-coding RNA is filed under the name Malus domestica (apple). RNAcentral's name for it is "long non-coding RNA (MDOM_LNC002567)". The record is from RNAcentral. Lineage: Eukaryota; Viridiplantae; Streptophyta; Magnoliopsida; Rosales; Rosaceae.